Molecule: long non-coding RNA, 711 nt
Organism: Brassica rapa (field mustard)
Lineage: Eukaryota; Viridiplantae; Streptophyta; Magnoliopsida; Brassicales; Brassicaceae
Source: RefSeq, a predicted model, not a curated record
AGGUGAUUCCAGUUUUUCCUGUUUAGGAAUAUGACAACUUCUUUGUCAUUCUAAUCAGCCCAGGAUGAAUCGCGAUGUGAGAAGCUGUAAUUAGAUACAUAAAGUAGUGGAGAAUCACCAUAAAGUUGAAUAAAUCUCAUAGGAGUUAGGAUGAAGAAGUUAUCUCAAUUUCAAAUCAGGUGAUUCCAGUUUUCCUGUUUGGGAAUAUGACAACUUCUUUGUCAUUCUAAUUAGACCAGCAAGAAUCGCGAUGUGAGAAGCUGUAUUUAUAUAGAUAAAGUAGUGGAGAAUCACAAUGAAGUUGAAUAAAUCUCAUAGGAGUUAGGAUGAAGAAGUUAUCCCACUUUCACAUCAGGUGAUCCCAGUUUUCCUGUUUGGGAAUAUGAUAACUUCUUUGUCAUUCUAAUCAAACUAGGAUGAAUCGCGAUGUAAGAAGCUUGAUUUGGAUACAUAAAGUAUGGAGAAUCACCAUAAAGUUGAAUAAAUCUCAUAGGAGUUAGGAUGAAGAAGUUAUCUCAAUUUCAAAUCAGGUGAUCCCAGUUUUCAUGUUUGGGAAUAUAACAGUUUCUUCGUCACUCUAAUCAGACCAGUAUGAAUCGCGAUGUGGGAAGCCUGACUUGGAUACAAAAAGUAGUGGAGAAUCACCAGGAAGUUGAUUAAUCUCAUACGAGUUAGGAUGAAAAAGUUAUCCCACUUUCAAAUCAGGUGAUC